CCUACGGGAGGCAGCAGUGAGGAAUAUUGGUCAAUGGGCGCGAGCCUGAACCAGCCAAGUAGCGUGAAGGAUGAAUGCCCUACGGGUUGUAAACUUCUUUUAUAAAGGAAUAAAGUGAGGCACGUGUGCCUUUUUGUAUGUACUUUAUGAAUAAGGAUCGGAUAACUCCGUGCCACAAGCCGCGGUAAUACGGAGGAUACGAGCGUUUUCCGGAUUUAUUGGGUUUAAGGGGUGCGGAGAGGGGUUGUUCAGUCAGUGGUGAAAGUUUGCGGCUCAACCGUAAAAUUGCAAUUGAUACUGGCAGUCUUGAGUACAUGUGAGGUAGGCGGAAUUCGUGGUGUAGCGGUGAAAUGCUUAGAUAUCACGAAGAACUCCGAUUGCGAAGGCAGCUUACUAAACUGCCACUGACAUUGAUGCUCGAAAGUGUGGGUAUCAAACAGGAUUAGAUACCCCUGUAGUC
This 460-nucleotide ribosomal RNA is filed under the name uncultured bacterium. RNAcentral's name for it is "partial 16S ribosomal RNA". It matches the Rfam family "Bacterial small subunit ribosomal RNA", at positions 338 to 795 of the family's 1533-position model. The record is from RNAcentral.